GUGACUAAAAAAUGAGGAUGACCUCAGGGUGAUAGGGAGCAUCUGGUUUCAGAUUAGCACCUUGGAAGUUGUUGUAGAGUGCCGGAAUCAGAAUUUUAAAAGAAUGACACAAGAUUCCCUUCUUCCUACUCUGCCCUAUCCUCUGUGGUGACGGUCGGUGGGUGAAAGGCAAGGCCCCACGGCUGUACGUUAGACCCAGCAUCAGGAGGAACGCUGGGGACCAGUGACAAGGGCAGGGGUAUGGUCAGCACAGCUGCCUCCCCUGGAGUCAUUAGCUGGGAUGCGGCUGGCAACAAACUGGACCACUCCUCAGCCCAGGUGUCCUGUCCCCAAGAGACAGCGGUGGGCACUCGCUUCCCAGGGACCAGGCUUUCCAUCUUCCCACCCAACGUCCCACCAUUUUCAAGGGUGAACUGAGAAUCGGAGGCUUUGGGAACCGUUCCUUUUACAUUAAAAACUGAAAUCAACAAGGG
RNAcentral lists this long non-coding RNA (473 nucleotides) under Fukomys damarensis (Damara mole-rat). RNAcentral's name for it is "lncRNA (ENSFDAG00000030463.1)". Lineage: Eukaryota; Metazoa; Chordata; Mammalia; Rodentia; Bathyergidae. The record is from RNAcentral.